CCAUGAAGUAAAUUCAUAAUCCCAUAAUUCAUCGACUUUAAUCGUCAUUCCAGUUCCUUCCACAGACAACCCAGUCCCGUUCAGAAUAGAUAUACGGGAUUUUGGAAUUUUGACCUCAGACAACUUUAUACUACACAAUGAAUGGUACAUUAAUUAAUGGUACAAUGGUUCAUCAGGGUGCCCAACUCACAAAUACUGAUUUUCAGUGGGGCCUUAAAUUAGAUAAAAUACUUAGUCGAAAUAUGUAUGUAUAAAAGAUUAAAUGUUGUAUGCUAAAAUGUAGUUGUUAGCCUAAGGAUAUAUAAUCAAGAGAAUAAACGACUU
Molecule: non-coding RNA, 324 nt
Organism: Paramuricea clavata
Lineage: Eukaryota; Metazoa; Cnidaria; Anthozoa; Malacalcyonacea; Plexauridae
Source: the annotation of a GenBank genome assembly